Molecule: long non-coding RNA, 1150 nt
Filed under: Phoenix dactylifera (date palm)
Lineage: Eukaryota; Viridiplantae; Streptophyta; Magnoliopsida; Arecales; Arecaceae
Description: long non-coding RNA (PDAC_LNC015687)
Source: RNAcentral
CUGUGUUUGGAGAGUUUCAAUUGGGAAUUGUAAGAACAAAGACCCUAUUUAGUUGGAUCCACUAUAGGAGGUGACUUCACUUGUUGUUUUAACUAUAUCCUUAUGCUUAUUUCAUUCUAAAUAUGCUGACAUAUUAAAAAUGAAUGAACGUACAAUUAACAAAAAAAAGGUAUUGAUAGAAUUUUUUCUUACUUGUAACUUUGCAAACAUACAUGUAUUGUUCGUACUUUCUCUCCUACAUAUUCAAAAGAUUGAACUGGUUGGUUGUUACCUUGGCAUCCCUCUCAAAGGUGCUAGAAUCAUUAUUCAAGACAUUCAACCUAUUAGAUUCCACAUCUUGGGCCAUCUUGAUUCAAGGAAAUGGAAAACUAUAUCCAUUACAAGUUGUUUAUAUGUAGCAGAGCAAUAAUGUUUUGAAGCAUUGCGGGGUCAAUAUGUGGAAUGAAGGGAAUUGAGUAUUAAGACAAGCUGAUGGCUUCGAUCGUAAGCUAUCGUAAGCUAUAGUUCUGAAUUAACUAUCUUGAAAGUAAAGCAAUCCUCAUUGUUGGCUCUUGAUAGCAAUAAGCAGUCAUCGAUAAAUAGUAGAUGGUUGAAAGUACAUCUAUCUCUCUUUGUUUUAUAUCUAGACAAGCGUCCAGCAUCUAUUUCAAGAUCAAGAGCCAUGUUCAACAUUUCAGAGCACAGUAUGAAGAGGCAAAGAGGAAAGGAGAAAGGGGCAUCUCAAUCGCAUAAAUGAUUUAAAGGUGCUAGUGGAAGAGCCAUUAAUCAAUACGAGAAAAUUGGGUUCAUGUAACAAUCAUUAAUCCAAGCAAUCCACUUCUCAAGGAAAGAAAACUUUCUCAUGACACCCUCGUUUGGUCUUAGUAUACUCGAUCAUAAGUCCUAUUCAUAUACAGAUUAAUAGUGAUUACAGAUUACAGAGUUUCUCCAGCCUUGUGUGAUAAAUCAAUAGCCUCCAGAGCGAAGAUGCUACAAUAGGGAAUAGAAAUUGAAGGCCACUUUCUCCUCAAGCACCAAAUCAUCAAUGGCGACCUUUCUAAGAGCUUGGACUUUGUUACUAUUUGUUUAAGCCAAAUACCCAAAUGAUUAUCAUUAUAAACGUUCGCAUAAAAGUUCCCGCACAAUAAGGUCAAAAUGGUAAAUUUGGUUC